UACAGAGUGAGAUCCAAGGGAUGGAGUGU
This 29-nucleotide non-coding RNA is filed under the name Rattus norvegicus (Norway rat). Lineage: Eukaryota; Metazoa; Chordata; Mammalia; Rodentia; Muridae. The record is from RNAcentral.